GAUGAACGCUGGCGGCGUGCUUAACACAUGCAAGUCGAACGAUGAUCUCCAGCUUGCUGGGGGGAUUAGUGGCGAACGGGUGAGUAACACGUGAGUAACCCGCCCUUAACUCUGGGAUAAGCCUGGGAAACUGGGUCUAAUACCGGAUAUGACUCCUCAUCGCAUGGUGGGGGGUGGAAAGCUUUUUGUGGUUUUGGAUGGACUCGCGGCCUAUCAGCUUGUUGGUGAGGAAUGGCUCACCAAGGCGACGACGGUAGCCGGCCUGAGAGGGUGACCGGCCACACUGGGACUGAGACACGGCCCAGACUCCUACGGGAGGCAGCAGUGGGGAAUAUUGCACAAUGGGCGCAAGCCUGAUGCAGCGACGCCGCGUGAGGGA
This 379-nucleotide ribosomal RNA is filed under the name uncultured bacterium. Its description in RNAcentral is "bacterial SSU rRNA". It matches the Rfam family "Bacterial small subunit ribosomal RNA", at positions 28 to 408 of the family's 1533-position model. The record is from RNAcentral.